AAGAAAGAAAGGCUCUUCCCGCCAUCUUGGCUCCUGUGGAGGCCUGCUGGGAACGGGACUUCUAAAGGGAACUAUGUCUGGAAGGCUGUGGUCCAAGGCCAUUUUUGCCGGCUAUAAGCGGGGUCUCGGGAACCAAAGGGAGCACACAGCUCUUCUUAAAAUUGAAGGUGUUUAUGCCCGAGAUGAAACAGAAUUCUAUUUGGGCAAGAGAUGCGCUUAUGUAUACAAAGCAAAGAACAACACAGUGACUCCAGGCGGCAAACCAAAUAAAACCAGAGUCAUCUGGGGAAAGGUAACUCGGGCCCAUGGAAACAGUGGCAUGGUUCGUGCCAAAUUCCGAAGCAAUCUUCCUGCUAAGGCCAUCGGACACAGAAUCCGAGUGAUGCUGUACCCCUCAAGGAUUUAAACUAACGAAAAAUCAAUAAAUAAACGUGGAUCUGUGCUCUUAUAUUUUUGUUAAGUGGAUUAAAGAACUUACUACCUUAAAAAAAAAAAAAAA
Cercocebus atys (sooty mangabey) is the source of this 499-nucleotide RNA transcript. It is a transcript of the gene named 60S ribosomal protein L35a pseudogene, with no coding region annotated. NCBI's taxonomy places the organism in Eukaryota, Metazoa, Chordata, Mammalia, Primates, Cercopithecidae. The record is from RefSeq and is a predicted model, not a curated record. The transcript has a single exon.